AGUCCCUUUGCAACAAGGGUGAGGAUAGCUUUGGAAGAGAAGGGAAUAGAAUAUAAAUCUAAGGUAGAGGACUUGAGCAACAAGAGCUCUACUCUUCUCAAGAUGAACCCAGUUCAUCAGCAAAUCCCUGUCUUAAUCCAUAAUGGGAGACCCAUCUGUGAGUCAAUGAUCAUAGUUCAAUAUAUUGAUGAGGUUUGGAGCCAUAAACCUUCAUUGUUGCCUUCUGAUCCUUAUCGACGAGCACAUGCCAGGUUUUGGGCUGACUACAUCGACAAGAAGGUAAGUUCUUAGAACUGAUUAAAUAUCUUUUUCUCUGUCUUCCUGUGUUUACUUUUUGAAAGGAAACAUUAAUGAAGUAUUGACAUGCAAAUUGGUUUCGUCCAGAUGUAUCCUACUGGAAAGAAUCUAUGGACAUCUAAAGUUGAAGUCAGGGAAUCAUCGAAGAAGGACUUGAUUCAGUGCUUUAAAAUCUUGGAAGAAGAACUCGGAGACAAGCUAUAUUUUGGGGAUGAGAGCUUCGGCUAUAUAGACUUGGCAUUUAUUUCGUUCUACAACCUCUUUUACACCUUUGAGACCCUAGGAAACUGGAGCAUGGCAGCCGAGUUCCCUAAGCUCGUGGAGUGGGGCGAGAGAUGCUUGCGAAAGGAGAGCGUGUCCAAGUCUACAAGUGACCAAAAGGAGGUUUAUGAAGUUGUUUUGCAGAUCAAACAGAAACUGGGGAUUGAAUAAAUAUAUAGUAUUGCAAAUGGAGAGUGUAUCCAAGUCCAUUCUAUUGUGGCAUUUUAUGUUUUCUUAACUUGUUCUGGAACAGUGUUCGGUUGGUUAGUUCAGCCUGAUAAUAAUAAAGGGUUCUUGGAUAUUAAACUCGGAUCUUCUAAGCAGGGAAAAUUAUUUUAAGAUCGUGUUUGACUAAUAUACCAUGAGAAUAAAAUAUGGUGUUUUUUUUUUUAAAUGAAUUUUUAGUCAACUAAAUGUUGUCUUAGUAUAAAUAGACUUAGCACAACUACAUGGGCUAGGCUUUCUGACCCAAAGACCCAAACCCACAAACAUGAUCCAAAACUAGAAAAGAAAUAAUGAAGAUCAAAAGAGGAGUAAACAUUUAAAUUUACACAAGAACAUGAUGAACGCUCGGAUCAAACCCAAAAGCUAAGAUUCAAUAUCAGCCAUAUUACAUCAAAUCGAAGACACAUAAACAUGUACAAUCAAAAGUAUAGCAAGAUUUUGGGGCUGGAUUAUCACAACAAACAACCUAAAGUCAUGACUAUUUGAUUUUAUGCAAAAUAUAAAAUGAAAAACUAAAGAUCAAAUGUCACGAUUUAAGUAUUUUUAAACCCACAAGGUCCUAAAUUAAUGAUCAAUAAGAUAAAAUACAUGUGCAAGAGCCAACAAUUGAUCAAAAAGAUAUGCAAAACAUGGACCCAAGACCAUCUUCAAUGGACAAAUGUGAAAACCAUAAAGCAUAAGAGCCCAAAAAAUGCUCGGUAGAGGCUUUAAAACCAAAAAAUUCGUAAAACCCAAAAACAACAACUAAAACUUAAACACGCUCAACACAAUUUGCUUGAACCAUUAAAACAACAAGAAACAAUGAAUGAGGAGCAAAACAGUUAGUAAAAUACAUAAUGACAACAAGAAAAAAUAACAUUUUCUAUGCAUAAACACUCUUCUAUUGAUUAAAAUUAUUAUCUUGAAGUUUAAAUAAAAUGCCUACAAUUUCAACAAACCCAGUAAGCUAUUAUAAAACAAUUUAAUCCACAACAACAUCGAAACUUAACCUAGCUUGUCAUGGUUUUACAAAUGAUUAACCAAAUAUUUAAAUAUGUAAAACAACAUUAUACAUUAUCAUAUACCAUACCAUAAUCACAUUCUAACAUAUUAAACAAAGCAAUCCAACAAAACUUGAAUAAUACAAACUAUUUUUAAAGCAUGCUUAAACAUCUCAAAACAAAUAUUUAAUAGUUUUAAAAACUAGCAAAUGACUUCAAAUGAUGCUUAACAAUCAUUUUGAGCAACAGUUUAAAAGGGCAAAACAGAAAAGGAAAGGGGUCUGCUCAUUGAGCUCCACCCCUCAUCAGAGUUUGAAAGUUUAUCUUGUAAAGAGAAUGUGACUUUCUCCUUUGAAUUCUUUAAUUCUUUCUUCUGGAAUUUCAACUUUUUUUCGAUUUAGAUUCCACCUUUUCUUUCUCAACAAAUAAAUCUUUAUAACUUUCUUUUCAAUUAUAUUCUAAGUAUCCUCUUAAUUUUUAUGUAUUUAUUUUCUUUUUUCUCUAUGAUUUGCUCUCAGAUUCCUACCUUGUUUUCUGUAUGAUUUGUUCUCCUCUUAUAGCCCUAAAAUGGUAGGUGGUUGUGAAACCACUUAUAGGUUUGAAGAUGGUUUUUCAAAACUAAAUCAUAAGGGGUUCAUUCCUCAUAUAUGUUAGGAAGCCAUUCUUCUCUCUUCUUUUUUGUUGUCUUUUUUCCCCGUCACUUUCUUCUUCCCUUUUAUUUUAUUUUAUUUUGCUUUUCGUUUCAUAUUUGUGGAAUAAAUACAGGUUCGUCCUUUAAUUUUUCAAUUCUUCUCAAAUUAGGAUUCUACUUGGAUGGCAUUUCCUGCAGCCACGUAAUGAAAUGAAGGUUUGGUGGAUUAUUGAUGUUAUAAAAUAGCUUAUACACUAGGAAAGGGAGCUUUAUUUGAAAAAGUAAGAUAUUUUGUUAUAUUUUACAUUAAAUCAAUAAAAUACAACAAAAUCUCUUACUUUUUAGAUUAUAUACUUGACAUUAUGUGAAAUAUAGAUAUUUUUAAAAAGAUUAAUUAAUUAUAUAGGACACCUCUUGUUAAGUCAUUCAAUUAAUUUAUUAGAAGGGUGUCUUUCAUUAAAUUGUUAAUUUCCUUCUUUUUUGUUGUUAAUUAUUUCAAAAUAUAAUAUAUAAUCCGGUAAUUCCAUAAAGUUUUAACAAUUUACAAACAAAUACAAUCUUACAAAAUCUAAAACAAACCACAACAAGUAUAAAAUUAUAUAUUCAUAUACUAGCUACAAGUUUUUUUGAGAAAUAACAAUAAAACAUGUACAUCUACUAACAAAAAUACAUAUACUAAAAAAACAAUAAAAUUGACAUUUAAAUGUUAAAAUUUAAAAAGAUAGAAUUACUUACAAAAAUUGAUAAAAUCCGUCGGUAAAUCAGAACAUGGAUGCUGUGACCACAAAACUUUAAGAAAUACAACUUGUUAUGCUGAGAUGAGGAAGAUUUUUGUUUGGGGGCGAGGGGGGGCUGGUUAUUUGCAGAUGGGGAGACUUAGGAUUAGGAAUAAGAAGGAGAAAUGGGGGAGGAGAGUGUCGGCAGAGCGGCCAUAUAUUCACUUUUACCGACGGCCUCACCGACGGAAUAACAUCGUCGGUGACUACGUCGGUGCAUCUGUCGGUAAUUAUAACGGUAAAUAGACACGUCACCGUACGGACCUGCUUUUCAAAUCCCUCGGUGAUUCCGUCGGUAUUGUUGACGGUGAACCGGUCCGAACACACGUACGGGUCCCUGGUUUUUAAUCCGUCGGUGAUUCUGUUGGAAAAAUCACCCGCCAAAACCUCCACGCCAGCUACCCGCCCUUUUUUCAUUAAUUCUGAACUUUUCGUCCGUAAUUCGGUCGGUAAUUACCAACGGAAUAUAACUGUCGGUAAUUACCGACCGAAUUACGGACGGAAAUAUGUCGUCAGUGAUUUCGACCGCAAAAUACCGACAGAAAUAUUCUGUCGGUGAUUCCGUUGGUAUUUAGCGAAUUUCUAGUAGUGGUCAUUUUCUUCUUCCUUUUUAUUUUAUUUUGCUUUUCUUUUUCUUUUUCAAAAUUUUUUUCUCUUCCUAGUUGGGUCCUUUAAUUUUUCAAUUCUUCUCAAAUUAGGAUUCUAGGUGGAUGGCAUUUCCUGCAGCCACAUAAAUGAAAUGAAGGUUUGGUGGGUUAUCGAUGUUAUAAAAUAGCUUAUACACUAGGAAAGGGAGCUUUAUUUAAAAAAGUAAGAGAUUUUGUUAUAUUUUACAUUAAAUCAAUAAAAUAUAUGAUAUAUAUAAUAGCACAAAAUCUGUUACUUUUUAGAUUAUAUAUAUGAUAGCAGUAUGAUAUUAUGUGAAAUAGAUAUUUUUUAAAUGAUUAAUUAAUUAUAUAGGACAACUCUUGUAUAUUAGUAUGGAAAGAUAUUAUUUUUUUAUUAUAAAUAUCAAUUUUUGAUACCGGCAGAAAUUAUUAAGAAAACAAUUUUCUUCUCUUCCAACAUGCAUGGCGGCCACGCUUUAUACAGGCCAAUAGAAAUUAUGAAGAUGCAGAUGAAUUUAGACUAUAUCAGCGAGGGAUCAAAUUUAUUUUCAAGCGGGUCUCCGGAGUAAGAUAUUCUUGUUGAUGUGCGCACGUGUGCCACAUAAGUUGCCAUUCCUCCAUUGAUAGUUAAUUUUAGAAUAUUUAUAAUUAUUAAAUCUAUAAUAUUCAGGAUUAUUAACCAUGUAACUAAAUAUUAUUUAAUUACUAUAUAUGAAAUAAAUUUGAUCUGCAAGAUUUAUAAUAUUCAAGAUUAUUCCUUGUUGAAAUCUAACAAGGAGCCCCUGCUUUAAUAUUUAUCCUGCCCUCAGCGAUUAAACAAAGGCGAAAGAAAAUCUUGGCAUUGUUCUCCAAGAUUUUGAGAUUCUCUCUUGUGAUGACUUAGUCUAAUUCACUUUGAUAUUUUUACAAGAAGAAUAUUUAUAACAUUUUGUUGACAAAAUGUUGCGAGUAGGUGGCCGAGGAAAAUCCCAACCUGUCAAAACUAAUGCUGACCAUUCUGAUGCAAGCAAUGACAACAAAAGCGAAGCACAAGAGAAACUGAUAACUCCACAAAGGUCUCAUGUUCUGCUAUAAAUUCUAGUUUUCGCCUCAGUUCCACAUUGCAAAUUGAAGAAGGAAACAAAUUACUGAGAAAAAUCUUGAUUCUCUUUGUGCAAGAAAUGGCUAAUGAAGUGGUUCUACUGGAUUUGAAGCUUAGUCCUUAUGCAGCAAGGGUGAGGAUAGCUUUGGAAGAGAAGGGAAUAGAAUAUAAAUCUAAGGUAGAUGACUUUAACAACAAGAGCUCUACUCUUCUCAAGAUGAACCCAGUUCAUCAGAAAAUCCCUGUCUUAAUCCAUAAUGGGAGACCCAUUUGUGAGUCAAUGAUCAUAGUUCAAUAUAUUGAUGAAGCUUGGAGCCAUAAACCUUCAUUGUUGCCUUCUGAUCCUUAUCGACGUGCACAUGCCAGGUUUUGGGCUGACUACAUCGACAAGAAG
This 5253-nucleotide long non-coding RNA is filed under the name Populus tremula. RNAcentral describes it as "long non-coding RNA (PTRE_LNC000587)". Lineage: Eukaryota; Viridiplantae; Streptophyta; Magnoliopsida; Malpighiales; Salicaceae. The record is from RNAcentral.